CACCUGCAGUUUAAGUUUGUAACCUCAGCAGUGAGAUCCCCUUGAAACUGAGGGAAUGAUCAUUAAGAGAUGCAGAGGGUCUAGCAAUAUAAAACAUGGAGUAAUACUUCCCAGAAUACUGUCCCAGCCUCCUGAAGCUUUUGGAUGGAGACUUGAAAUUCUCCCUUGAGUCUGUGAAGAAGCUGAAGGGGCUUAUGGAUGAGAACAGACACAUUAACCCUCGCUUUGUGCUUUCAAUGGCUAGCUACUCUCCAUGUGAUGAAAAAGAUCUCCCUGAGGAAUUCCAGUCUGUGUGCAAAAGAGAAGACGCAUCCAUGAUUUUUGAGAGGCUGAAGGAGAGAGUCCGUGCUGCCUUUCUAUCCCUCCUACGGCUGAUGGCCAACACUGGCUGUGAGCACCCUGCAGUACAGUUCCUGAUGUGCUGAGCUGAGCUGUAGCCUGCACAGAUCAGGCUGCUGUAACCAG
This is a long non-coding RNA of Neopsephotus bourkii (Bourke's parrot), 465 nucleotides long. RefSeq lists it as uncharacterized. NCBI's taxonomy places the organism in Eukaryota, Metazoa, Chordata, Aves, Psittaciformes, Psittacidae. The transcript has 3 exons. The record is from RefSeq and is a predicted model, not a curated record.